This 83-nucleotide transfer RNA is filed under the name Deinococcus radiodurans. RNAcentral describes it as "tRNA-Leu(gag)". It matches the Rfam family "tRNA". Rfam says of the family: Transfer RNA (tRNA) molecules are approximately 80 nucleotides in length. Their secondary structure includes four short double-helical elements and three loops (D, anti-codon, and T loops). Further hydrogen bonds mediate the characteristic L-shaped molecular structure. tRNAs have two regions of fundamental functional importance: the anti-codon, which is responsible for specific mRNA codon recognition, and the 3' end, to which the tRNAs corresponding amino acid is attached (by aminoacyl-tRNA synthetases). tRNAs cope with the degeneracy of the genetic code in two manners: having more than one tRNA (with a specific anti-codon) for a particular amino acid; and 'wobble' base-pairing, i.e. permitting non-standard base-pairing at the 3rd anti-codon position. Lineage: Bacteria; Thermotogati; Deinococcota; Deinococci; Deinococcales; Deinococcaceae. RNAcentral also lists the same sequence under 5 other names. The record is from RNAcentral.
GCUCGGGUGGCGGAAUUGGUAGACGCGCACGUUUGAGGGGCGUGUGGGUAACCGUGUGGGUUCAAGUCCCAUCUCGAGCACCA